Molecule: ribosomal RNA, 505 nt
Filed under: uncultured Kingella sp.
Lineage: Bacteria; Pseudomonadati; Pseudomonadota; Betaproteobacteria; Neisseriales; Neisseriaceae
Description: partial 16S ribosomal RNA
Source: RNAcentral
CACGUAGUUAGCCGGUGCUUAUUCUUUAGGUACCGUCAGCAAAAAGUGGUAUUAACACUUCUCUUUUCUUCCCUAACAAAAGUCCUUUACAACCCGAAGGCCUUCUUCAGACACGCGGCAUGGCUGGAUCAGGGUUGCCCCCAUUGUCCAAAAUUCCCCACUGCUGCCUCCCGUAGGAGUCUGGGCCGUGUCUCAGUCCCAGUGUGGCGGAUCAUCCUCUCAGACCCGCUACUGAUCGUCGCCUUGGUGGGCCUUUACCCCACCAACUAGCUAAUCAGAUAUUGGCUGCUCAAAUAGCGCAAGGUCCGAAGAUCCCCUGCUUUCCCCCUUAGGACGUAUGCGGUAUUAGCCAAUCUUUCGAUUGGUUAUCCCCACUACUCGGUACAUUCCAAUAUGUUACUCACCCGUUCGCCACUCGCCGGCAGGUGCAAGCACCUCCGCUGCCGUCCGACUUGCAUGUGUAAAGCAUGCCGCCAGCGUUCAAUCUGAGCCAGGAUCAAACUCU